GGGGGUAUAGCUCAACUGGUAGAGCGUCUGCCUUACAAGCAGAAUGUCAAUGGUUCGAAUCCAUUUAUCCUCA
RNAcentral lists this transfer RNA (73 nucleotides) under Lepocinclis ovum. RNAcentral's name for it is "tRNA-Val". It matches the Rfam family "tRNA". Rfam says of the family: Transfer RNA (tRNA) molecules are approximately 80 nucleotides in length. The record is from RNAcentral. Lineage: Eukaryota; Euglenozoa; Euglenophyceae; Euglenales; Phacaceae. RNAcentral also lists the same sequence under 2 other names.